Molecule: ribosomal RNA, 229 nt
Filed under: uncultured bacterium
Lineage: Bacteria
Description: partial 16S ribosomal RNA
Rfam family: Bacterial small subunit ribosomal RNA
Source: RNAcentral
GGUGUAGGCGGAUUGAUAAGUCAGAAGUGAAAGCCCCGGGCUCAACCUGGGAAGUGCUUUUGAUACUGUUGAUCUUGAGUGUGGGAGAGGAUAGUAGAAUUCCUGGUGUAGUGGUGAAAUACGUAGAUAUCAGGAGGAACACCGGUGGGGAAGCCGGCUGUCUGGCCCAACACUGACGCUCAGACCCGAAAGCGUGGGGAGCAAACAGGAUUAGAUACCCUGGUAGUCC